UACGAAGGGGGCUAGCGUUGCUCGGAAUCACUGGGCGUAAAGCGCACGUAGGCGGGUCUUUAAGUCAGGGGUGAAAUCCUGGAGCUCAACUCCAGAACUGCCUUUGAUACUGGCGAUCUCGAGUCCGGGAGAGGUGAGUGGAACUGCGAGUGUAGAGGUGAAAUUCGUAGAUAUUCGCAAGAACACCAGUGGCGAAGGCGGCUCACUGGCCCGGUACUGACGCUGAGGUGCGAAAGCGUGGGGAGCAAACAGG
This 253-nucleotide ribosomal RNA is filed under the name uncultured bacterium. RNAcentral's name for it is "partial 16S ribosomal RNA". It matches the Rfam family "Bacterial small subunit ribosomal RNA", at positions 524 to 776 of the family's 1533-position model. The record is from RNAcentral.